This 94-nucleotide ribosomal RNA is filed under the name Proteus mirabilis. Lineage: Bacteria; Pseudomonadati; Pseudomonadota; Gammaproteobacteria; Enterobacterales; Morganellaceae. The record is from RNAcentral.
UCCCACCUGAUCCCAUGCCGAACUCAGAAGUGAAACGCCGUAGCGCCGAUGGUAGUGUGGGGUCUCCCCAUGUGAGAGUAGGGAACUGCCAAGC